AUGAAAAAAGAACCCGGAGAGGGGAAGAACAUUAGAUUUUGGGAGGAUAUUUGGGUGGAUGACAAGCCCUUAAAAGAUGCCUACCCUAGAAUAUAUGACAUUUGCUUUGAUCACAAAAUUACUGUGUAUGAGGCCAUCCAAAAAGGAUGGAGAGAUUUCAAAUUUAGAAGGACUCUGCAUGGAGAAACUCUAGAGUUGUGGAAUGCUUUAAAGAGUAUAUGUGAAAAGAUUAAAAUGAAUGGGAGGGAAGAUAAGAUCAAAUGGACCCUUACUGCUGAUAAAAAAUUCUCUGUUAAAUCUCUAUACAAAGAAUUGAUUACGUCGGGCCUGAAAUUUCCACAGAAAUAUCUUUGGAAAAUCAAAGUUCCUGCUAAAAUAAAAGUCUUCCUGGUUAGUUAA
RNAcentral lists this ribosomal RNA (399 nucleotides) under Triticum aestivum (bread wheat). RNAcentral's name for it is "partial small subunit ribosomal RNA". Lineage: Eukaryota; Viridiplantae; Streptophyta; Magnoliopsida; Poales; Poaceae. The record is from RNAcentral.